GACGAACGCUGGCGGCGUGCUUAACACAUGCAAGUCGAACGGAAAGGCCCUGCUUUUGUGGGGUGCUCGAGUGGCGAACGGGUGAGUAACACGUGAGUAACCUGCCCUUGACUUUGGGAUAACUUCAGGAAACUGGGGCUAAUACCGGAUAGGAGCUCCUGCUGCAUGGUGGGGGUUGGAAAGUUUCGGCGGUUGGGGAUGGACUCGCGGCUUAUCAGCUUGUUGGUGGGGUAGUGGCUUACCAAGGCUUUGACGGGUAGCCGGCCUGAGAGGGUGACUGGCCACAUUGGGACUGAGAUACCGCCCCGACUCCUACGGGAGGCAGCAGUGGGGAAUAUUGCCCAAUGGGCGGAAGCCUGAUGCAGCAACGCCGCGUGCGGGAUGACGGCCUUCGGGUUGUAAACCGCUUUCGCCUGUGACGAAGCGUGAGUGACGGUAAUGGGUAAGGAAGCACCGGCUAACUACGUG
Molecule: ribosomal RNA, 468 nt
Filed under: uncultured bacterium
Lineage: Bacteria
Description: partial 16S ribosomal RNA
Rfam family: Bacterial small subunit ribosomal RNA
Source: RNAcentral